GUGGGGAAUAUUUCGCAAUGGACGAAAGUCUGACGGAGCAACGCCGCGUGAGUGAUGAAGGAUUUCGGUUCGUAAAGCUCUGUUGCAGGGGAAAAAGAAAGUGAUUGUACUCUGCGAGAAAGGGACGGCCAACUUCGUGCCAGCAGCCGCGGUAAUACGAAGGUCCCUAGCGUUGUUCGGAAUUAUUGGGCGUAAAGAGCUCGUAGGUGGUUUUGUAAGUCAGGUGUGAAAGCCCCGAGCUUAACUCGGGAAGUGCACUUGAAACUACUUAACUUGAGUACGGAAGAGGUGAGUGGAAUUCCUGGUGUAGUGGUGAAAUACGUAGAUAUCAGGAGGAACAUCGGUGGCGAAGGCGGCUCACUGGUCCAGUACUGACACUGAGGAGCGAAAGCAUGGGGAUCAAACAGGAUUAGAAACCCCGGUAGUCC
Molecule: ribosomal RNA, 428 nt
Filed under: uncultured bacterium
Lineage: Bacteria
Description: bacterial SSU rRNA
Rfam family: Bacterial small subunit ribosomal RNA
Source: RNAcentral